AGAUGUGAGGGCGAUCUGGCUGCGACAUGUGUCACCGCAUUGAUCGCCAGGGUUGAUUCGGCUGAUCUGGCUUGCUAGGCGGGUGUCCCUUUCCUCCCUCAGCUCUCCAUGUGCGUCCCUCCCGAGGCUGCGAGCUCCGCCGAAGAGGACGACUACCCCCGAUAGAGGAGGACCGUUCCUUGGUCAACAGUACACGAGUAGCUGCGUUCCUCUGCUAGAACCUCCAAGCUCUCAAAAUGGUUUUAAUUUUCAGGUAGCUAUUAAAAUGACUUAUACAAACAUAAACAAGAAGUGAAAUUUUUAAUUU
Molecule: small nuclear RNA, 307 nt
Filed under: Chinchilla lanigera (long-tailed chinchilla)
Lineage: Eukaryota; Metazoa; Chordata; Mammalia; Rodentia; Chinchillidae
Description: 7SK RNA (ENSCLAG00000021962.1)
Rfam family: 7SK RNA
About the family: 7SK was discovered as an abundant small nuclear RNA in the mid-70s but a possible function has only recently been suggested. Two independent studies have found that 7SK RNA binds the CDK9/cyclin T complex (known as elongation factor P-TEFb).
Source: RNAcentral